This 105-nucleotide small nucleolar RNA is filed under the name Zalophus californianus (California sea lion). RNAcentral describes it as "Small nucleolar RNA U13 (ENSZCAG00015013205.1)". It matches the Rfam family "Small nucleolar RNA U13". Lineage: Eukaryota; Metazoa; Chordata; Mammalia; Carnivora; Otariidae. The record is from RNAcentral.
GUGCAUUUGUACUUCAUAAGCAUGACGAUUGGGUGUUCAUGCUGUUGCAUGACACGUGCAUUCCUCAAACCUUGCCACGAUGACUGUCACAUUAUCCAUCUGAUG